This 497-nucleotide ribosomal RNA is filed under the name uncultured bacterium. RNAcentral's name for it is "partial 16S ribosomal RNA". It matches the Rfam family "Bacterial small subunit ribosomal RNA", at positions 28 to 507 of the family's 1533-position model. The record is from RNAcentral.
GAUGAACGCUGGCGGCGUGCCUAAUACAUGCAAGUCGAGCGAACAGACCAGGAGUUUGCUCCUCUGACGUUAUCGGCGGUCGGGUUAGUAACUCGUCGAUAACCUACCUAUAAGACUGUGAUCACUACGGCACACCGGCGCUAAUACCGGAUAAUAUAUUGAACCGCAUUGUUCAAUAGUUAGAUUCGGUUUUUCUGUCACUUAUAGCUUGAUCCGCGCCGAAUCCGCUAGUUGGUAAGGCAACUGCUUACCAAGGCAACGAUGCGUACCCGACCUGAGAGGGUGAUUGGAUAGACGGGAAGUGAGAAAGGGUAGAGACACCUACGGGAGGAAGCAGUAGGGAAUCUUACGCAAUGGACGAAAGCCUGACGGAGCAAAGCCGCGUGAGUGAUGAAGGACUUAGGAUGGUAAAACUCUGUUAUUAGGGAAGAACAAAUGUGUAAGUAACUAGGCAGGUAUUGACGGUACCAGAUCAGAAAGCCACGGCUAACUACGUG